GACGAACGCUGGCGGCGUGCUUAACACAUGCAAGUCGAACGAAGAGCGACGGAAGCUUGCUUCUAUCAAUCUUAGUGGCGAACGGGUGAGUAACGCGUAAUCAACCUGCCCUUCAGAGGGGGACAACAGUUGGAAACGACUGCUAAUACCGCAUACGAUCUAACCUCGGCAUCGAGGAGAGAUGAAAGGUGGCCUCUACAUGUAAGCUAUCACUGAAGGAGGGGAUUGCGUCUGAUUAGCUAGUUGGAGGGGUAACGGCCCACCAAGGCGAGGAUCAGUAGCCGGUCUGAGAGGAUGAACGGCCACAUUGGGACUGAGACACGGCCCAGACUCCUACGGGAGGCAGCAGUGGGGAAUCUUCCGCAAGGGACGAAAGUCUGACGGAGCAACGCCGCGGGAGUGAUGACGGCCUUCGGGUUGUAAAGCUCGGUUAAUCGGGACGAAAGGCCUUCUUGCGAAUAGUGAGAAGGAUUGACGGUACCGGAAUAGAAAGCCACGGCUAACUACGUG
RNAcentral lists this ribosomal RNA (510 nucleotides) under uncultured bacterium. RNAcentral describes it as "partial 16S ribosomal RNA". It matches the Rfam family "Bacterial small subunit ribosomal RNA", at positions 28 to 507 of the family's 1533-position model. The record is from RNAcentral.